AAGGACAUCAGAGGAAUAUACAAAGAGGGGGCUGGUAGAGUCUACCGAGGAGGAGGUACCAGCAGUGGUAUUAGAAGCCAUGAUUAAUGAACCAGCUUAAAAGAAAAACAGUUUCGACAAGCAAAAUAAAAUGGAACUAGAUACUCACAUACGGAACCAGAUAGUCAUACACAAAGCAUACAAUACUCAAAAUAAGGACAGAGUUACCCUUCUUCUUCGCGACCGGAGAAGAUCGGCCUUCAAUCAACAGAGAAAACCCUAGGUCCAACACCGGAAACCCUAGGUUCUCAGAGAAGGAUCGAAAGAUUUUCCCCCUCUGAUACCAUAAAAACAUGGAGAUUUGAAGAUGAAAACCAGAGAAGAUGAAGAUGAACAGUGAGAAAUAGAGAGAGAGAUGAGAAGCUUCU
This 407-nucleotide long non-coding RNA is filed under the name Nicotiana benthamiana. RNAcentral describes it as "long non-coding RNA (NBEN_LNC016604)". Lineage: Eukaryota; Viridiplantae; Streptophyta; Magnoliopsida; Solanales; Solanaceae. The record is from RNAcentral.